GAGGCAAGUCCCCAGUUUCUUCUUCGGGGGCGUCAUCUUCUUCAUUCAACUAAAGGUACAAGUCCAGUUUUAAAGUGGAUAUUGAUGGAGAAACAAAGACGGCGUUCACCUUCC
Physeter macrocephalus (sperm whale) is the source of this 114-nucleotide long non-coding RNA. RefSeq lists it as uncharacterized. The transcript has 3 exons. The record is from RefSeq and is a predicted model, not a curated record. Lineage: Eukaryota; Metazoa; Chordata; Mammalia; Artiodactyla; Physeteridae.